CAAUCCGCAUUUCCCAUACAUGUCGAUCAACCCGCAUUGAACGAAAGCUUCACAUUCCAACCCAAGCUUGAUAGCAAUGGCGUGAACCUGUCGACCCGACAUCCCUUCGUCAUCCAUCCCGGCACAUGCCUUUAGAACACUUGAAAAGGUGAAGCUGUUUUUCUUAAUACCCUGUCUGCCCAUCUCAGUAAAAUCAUCAAACACCUUAUGGAAUUGAUUUUCCCUGCAACUAUUAACCAUUUUCGCUGUCCAUGUCACAGUGUUACGCCGUGAGGAUUGAUUAAAGACAACGUUGGCAUCAUCUAGGCACUUGAAGUUUCCAUAGAAGUUGAUUAAGGAGCCGGAUAAAGACAAAUCAUCGAUGACACCCAACUUGAGUAACUGUCCAUGAACCUGCUUCCCUAAC
RNAcentral lists this long non-coding RNA (406 nucleotides) under Gossypium raimondii (Peruvian cotton). RNAcentral's name for it is "long non-coding RNA (GRAI_LNC000271)". The record is from RNAcentral. Lineage: Eukaryota; Viridiplantae; Streptophyta; Magnoliopsida; Malvales; Malvaceae.